AAACACUAAGAAUUUGAUUCUCUAUAUUAAAUAACAAUUAUACAACAACAAACACAAAUUUUAUAGACUCCACAUCAAAUAAUCAUGGAUUUAAUGUUAUGUUUUGAAGCUCCAAAGCCAUAACAAUGACUUUUUAACACGAACUAUCCCAAAAUAAAAUUCCAUACACAAAUUGGUACACGAAUUUUCUGAUUAAAAAUAAACAUACAAUAACACAACAACAUCAAAUUCAUAUCUCAAUUAAUACCCAACAAGAAUUCCUCAUUCUACCAUUCAUGUAUAUAUCCAUUAGAGAAGUAGUUCCUCCCCUUACCUUGGUUCUCCUAGCAGUAAAAGGAAUCUAAAUUUCUUGGUGUCCUUCCCUCUCCCAAAGCUCUAAAUUUUCAAUGCUACUCUUGCCUCCUCAAACAAAUGUUCUUAAGUUUUCAAUGCUACUCUUGCCUCC
RNAcentral lists this long non-coding RNA (445 nucleotides) under Lathyrus oleraceus (garden pea). RNAcentral describes it as "Pisum sativum (pea) long non-coding RNA (PSAT_LNC023132)". The record is from RNAcentral. Lineage: Eukaryota; Viridiplantae; Streptophyta; Magnoliopsida; Fabales; Fabaceae.